RNAcentral lists this ribosomal RNA (495 nucleotides) under uncultured bacterium. RNAcentral's name for it is "partial 16S ribosomal RNA". It matches the Rfam family "Bacterial small subunit ribosomal RNA", at positions 28 to 505 of the family's 1533-position model. The record is from RNAcentral.
GACGAACGCUGGCGGCGUGCCUAAUACAUGCAAGUUGAGCGCUGAAGGUUGGUACUUGUACCGACUGGAUGAGCAGCGAACGGGUGAGUAACGCGUGGGGAAUCUGCCUUUGAGCGGGGGACAACAUUUGGAAACGAAUGCUAAUACCGCAUAAAAACUUUAAACACAAGUUUUAAGUUUGAAAGAUGCAAUUGCAUCACUCAAAGAUGAUCCCGCGUUGUAUUAGCUAGUUGGUGAGGUAAAGGCUCACCAAGGCGAUGAUACAUAGCCGACCUGAGAGGGUGCACGGCCAAAUGGGGACAGGGACACGGCCCAAACUCACACGGGAGGCAGAAGUAGGAAAUCUUCGGAAAGGGACGAAAGUCUGACCGAGCAACGCCGCGGGAGUGAAGAAGUUUUUCGGAUCGUAAAACUCUGUUGGUAGAGAAGAACUGUGGGGAGAGGGGAAAGCUCAUCAAGGGACGGUAAAUCCCCAGAAAGGGACGGCGAACUAAG